AGCGAACGCUGGCGGCAGGCCUAACACAUGCAAGUCGAACGAACCUUUCGGGGUUAGUGGCGGACGGGUGAGUAACACGUGGGAACGUGCCUUUAGGUUCGGAAUAACUCAGGGAAACUUGUGCUAAUACCGAAUGUGCCCUUCGGGGGAAAGAUUUAUCGCCUUUAGAGCGGCCCGCGUCUGAUUAGCUAGUUGGUUGAGGUAAUGGCUCACCAAGGCGACGAUCAGUAGCUGGUCUGAGAGGAUGAUCAGCCACAUUGGGACUGAGACACGGCCCAAACCCCUACGGGAGGGAGCAGUGGGGAAUCUUGCGCAAGGGGGAAAAGCCGGACACCCCCAUGCCGGGGGAAUGAUGAGGGUUUUAGGAUUUAAAAAUUCUUUCACCGGGGACGAUAAUGACGGUACCCGGAGAAAAAGCCCCGGCUAACUUCGU
This 433-nucleotide ribosomal RNA is filed under the name uncultured bacterium. RNAcentral describes it as "partial 16S ribosomal RNA". It matches the Rfam family "Bacterial small subunit ribosomal RNA", at positions 29 to 506 of the family's 1533-position model. The record is from RNAcentral.